This 391-nucleotide unclassified non-coding RNA is filed under the name soil metagenome. RNAcentral's name for it is "partial contains 5.8S ribosomal RNA, internal transcribed spacer 2, and large subunit ribosomal RNA". The stretch from base 1 to 122 matches the Rfam family "5.8S ribosomal RNA", at positions 35 to 154 of the family's 154-position model. The record is from RNAcentral.
GAUGAAGAACGCAGCGAAAUGCGAUACUUGGUGUGAAUUGCAGAAUCCCGUGAACCAUCGAGUCUUUGAACGCAAGUUGCGCCCGAAGCCAUUAGGCCGAGGGCACGCUUGCCUGGGCGUCACACGUCGUUGCCCCCCCAUCUACUCCUUCGGGAUUGCGGGGGGUGGAUGAUGGCCUCCCGUGCGCCUCGCCGCGCGGUUGGCAUAAAUGCCAAGUCCUCGGCGACGCACGCCACGACAAUCGGUGGUUGCGAAACCUCGGUUGCCCGUCGUGUGCGGUCGUCGCGCAUCGAGGGCUCGAAAAAAUUGCCGGGUUCCGGCUCGGCUUUCAACGCGACCCCAGGUCAGGCGGGGUUACCCGCUGAAUUUAAGCAUAUCAAUAAGCGGAGGA